GACGAACGCUGGCGGCGUGCUUAACACAUGCAAGUCGAACGGAGUGGCGAACGGGUGAGUAACACGAGGGUGACCUGCCCUGCACUUCGGGAUAAGCCUGGGAAACUGGGUCUAAUACCGGAUAGUGUGGGAUGGGCCCGGGGCCUAUCAGCUUGUUGGUGGGGUAAUGGCCUACCAAGGCGGCGACGGGUAGCCGGCCUGGGAGGGUGGACGGCCACAUGAGGACUGGGCCACGGCCCAGACUCCUACGUGGGGCAGCAGUGGGGAGUCUUGCACAAUGGGUGGAAGCCUGAUGCAGCGACGCCGGGGUGGGGAUGACGGCCUUCGGGUUGUAAACUCCUUUCACCAUCGACGCGGUAGAUGGAGAAGAAGCACCGGCUAACUACGUGCCAGCAGCCGCGGUAAUAC
This 408-nucleotide ribosomal RNA is filed under the name uncultured bacterium. RNAcentral's name for it is "partial 16S ribosomal RNA". It matches the Rfam family "Bacterial small subunit ribosomal RNA", at positions 28 to 526 of the family's 1533-position model. The record is from RNAcentral.